CAGGGGCUCAACCCCUGACCUGCAUCCGAUACGGUCGAGCUAGAGUUUGGUAGGGGAGACUGGAAUUCCUGGUGUAGCGGUGGAAUGCGCAGAUAUCAGGAGGAACACCGAUGGCGAAGGCAGGUCUCUGGGCCAAUACUGACACUGAGGAGCGAAAGCGUGGGGAGCGAACAGGAUUAGAUACCCUGGUAGUCCACGCCGUAAACGGUGGGCGCUAGUUGUGCGAACCUUCCACGGUUUGUGCGACGCAGCUAACGCAUUAAGCGCCCCGCCUGGGGAGUACGAUCGCAAGAUUAAAACUCAAAGGAAUUGACGGGGCCCCGCACAAGCAGCGGAGCAUGCGGCUUAAUUCGACGCAACGCGAAGAACCUUACCAAGGCUUGACAUAUACAGGAAUAUGGCAGAGAUGUCAUAACCGCAAGGUCUGUAUACAGGUGGUGCAUGGUUGUCGUCAGCUCGUGUCGUGAGAUGUUGGGUUAAGUCCCGCAACGAGCGCAACCCUCGUUCUGUGUUGCCAGCAUUAAGUUGGGGACUCACAGGAGACUGCCGGGGUUAACUCGGAGGAAGGUGGGGAUGACGUCAAAUCAUCAUGCCCCUUAUGUCUUGGGCUGCACGCAUGCUACAAUGGCUGGUACAAACGGCUGCGAUACCGCAAGGUGGAGCGAAUCCGAUAAAGCCAGUCUCAGUUCGGAUUGGGGUCUGCAACUCGACCCCAUG
Molecule: ribosomal RNA, 717 nt
Filed under: uncultured bacterium
Lineage: Bacteria
Description: bacterial SSU rRNA
Rfam family: Bacterial small subunit ribosomal RNA
Source: RNAcentral